GCGGAUGUGGUGAAAUUGGUAGACACACUAGACUUAGGAUCUAGCGCUUCGGCAUGCGGGUUCGAGUCCCUCCAUCCGCACCA
Molecule: transfer RNA, 83 nt
Filed under: Erysipelotrichaceae bacterium
Lineage: Bacteria; Bacillati; Bacillota; Erysipelotrichia; Erysipelotrichales; Erysipelotrichaceae
Description: tRNA-Leu
Rfam family: tRNA
About the family: Transfer RNA (tRNA) molecules are approximately 80 nucleotides in length.
Source: RNAcentral